Molecule: long non-coding RNA, 550 nt
Organism: Cucurbita pepo subsp. pepo (vegetable marrow)
Lineage: Eukaryota; Viridiplantae; Streptophyta; Magnoliopsida; Cucurbitales; Cucurbitaceae
Source: RefSeq, a predicted model, not a curated record
GCAUCUUUAAUUUUAGUUCUUUGCUCAUCUCUUCAUAUUUCUCUCUAUUUUUUCUCCUCCACUUCUUUCAUUUUCUUCCUGAAUUCGUGUUCUUCUACCAAACUGACACCGAUCGAGACGGCGAUCAUGGUAGCCUGCUAUCAAUCCAUGUAGGAGUUAAUACUCAUCUUUAGGUCAAUACUUAUUGCAUGGACAGUUGGAACCAUCUCAACCAGGUAGCCCCUACCCUAAAAAAAUUAAAUAAUAAAAAUGGCUAAAAAUUAGGAUUGAAUAUAUAUAUAUAUAUAUAUUUUUUAUUGUAACGACUCGUGUCCAGGAUUCAGAUUAGGAUUUGAAAUCUAGAUUCGGUACUUGAUGGACCCGACAUUUACGUGUGACAUAAUCAGGUUACUUACUCGCCUAUGAGAGUGACGCCUUUCAGAUUACUUAUUUCUUGCUUCUGAGAGUCAGCGAUCUGGUUAGAUUACUUACCGCUCGCUUUUGAGACUAAAGAGUUCUUUCAGCAAAAUUUACUCUCAGAAAAAUUUAUACGAUGUCACUCAAUAUAAAA